CCGAGACCCGCCCCGAGGAUCCGCCUCGAGUCCGAGGACCGCCCCCAGCCCGCCCCAAGACCAGCCCUGAGCCCGAGGACCCUCCCCGAUUAGCUAAAAGGACCGGCUUUCGGCGCGCCCUGAGCCCAGCGAUCCUCCCCAGGCCCACGGAUCCUCCAAAAGCCCACCCCGAGGAUCCGCCCCCGACCCUCUACCACAUCUAGGAUCUGCCCUCGAGGACUCACAGCAGAGUGCAGGUGAGCGUGCAGCAAGAGGUGCCAUGUUUGGAGACAGCAGACCCUCACCUGAUAUUGAAUCUGCAGUAAAUUGAUCUUGGACUUUA
This is a long non-coding RNA of Marmota monax (woodchuck), 322 nucleotides long. RefSeq lists it as uncharacterized. The transcript is spliced from 2 exons. The record is from RefSeq and is a predicted model, not a curated record. NCBI's taxonomy places the organism in Eukaryota, Metazoa, Chordata, Mammalia, Rodentia, Sciuridae.